AUUGAACGCUGGCGGCAGGCCUAACACAUGCAAGUCGAACGGCAGCACAGAAGAGCUUGCUCUUUGGGUGGCGAGUGGCGGACGGGUGAGUAAUGUCUGGGAAACUGCCCGAUGGAGGGGGAUAACUACUGGAAACGGUAGCUAAUACCGCAUAACGUCGCAAGACCAAAGUGGGGGACCUUCGGGCCUCACACCAUCGGAUGUGCCCAGAUGGGAUUAGCUAGUAGGUGGGGUAAUGGCUCACCUAGGCGACGAUCCCUAGCUGGUCUGAGAGGAGGACCAGCCACACUGGAACUGAGACAUGGUCCAGACUCCUACGGGAGGCAGCAGUGGGGAAUAUUGCACAAUGGGCGCAAGCCUGAUGCAGCCAUGCCGCGUGUAUGAAGAAGGCCUUCGGGUUGUAAAGUACUUUCAGCGGGGAGGAAGGCGGUGAGGUUAAUAACCUCGCCGAUUGACGUUACCCGCAGAAGAAGCACCGGCUAACUCUGUGCCAGCCGCCGCCGUAA
Molecule: ribosomal RNA, 506 nt
Filed under: uncultured bacterium
Lineage: Bacteria
Description: partial 16S ribosomal RNA
Rfam family: Bacterial small subunit ribosomal RNA
Source: RNAcentral